UACGUAGGUGGCGAGCGUUGUCCGGAUUUACUGGGCGUAAAGAGCGCGCAGGCGGUCGUACAAGUCGCGUGUGAAAGCCCCCGGCUUAACUGGGGAGGGUCACGCGAUACUGUUCGACUCGAAGGCAGGAGAGGGAAGCGGAAUUCCCGAUGUAGUGGUGAAAUGCGUAGAUAUCGGGAGGAACACCAGUGGCGAAGGCGGCUUCCUGGCCUGUUCUUGACGCUGAGGCGCGAAAGCUAGGGUAGCAAACGGG
This 253-nucleotide ribosomal RNA is filed under the name uncultured bacterium. RNAcentral describes it as "partial 16S ribosomal RNA". It matches the Rfam family "Bacterial small subunit ribosomal RNA", at positions 524 to 776 of the family's 1533-position model. The record is from RNAcentral.